GACGUAGGGCGCGAGCGUUGUCCGGAUUUAUUGGGCGUAAAGAGCGUGUAGGCGGCUUUACAGGUCCGUUGUGAAAACUCGAGGCUCAACCUCGAGACGCCGGUGGAAACCGUAAAGCUAGAGUCCGGAAGAGGAGAGUGGAAUUCCUGGUGUAGCGGUGAAAUGCGCAGAUAUCAGGAGGAACACCCGUGGCGAAAGCGGCUCUCUGGGACGGUACUGACGCUGAGACGCGAAAGCGUGGGGAGCAAACAGG
This 253-nucleotide ribosomal RNA is filed under the name uncultured bacterium. RNAcentral's name for it is "partial 16S ribosomal RNA". It matches the Rfam family "Bacterial small subunit ribosomal RNA", at positions 524 to 776 of the family's 1533-position model. The record is from RNAcentral.